RNAcentral lists this ribosomal RNA (387 nucleotides) under uncultured bacterium. Its description in RNAcentral is "bacterial SSU rRNA". It matches the Rfam family "Bacterial small subunit ribosomal RNA", at positions 30 to 416 of the family's 1533-position model. The record is from RNAcentral.
AUUGAACGCUGGCGGCAUGCCUUACACAUGCAAGUCGAACGGCAGCACGGGAGCAAUCCUGGUGGCGAGUGGCGAACGGGUGAGUAAUAUAUCGGAACGUGCCCAGUCGUGGGGGAUAACGUAGCGAAAGCUACGCUAAUACCGCAUACGAUCUAUGGAUGAAAGCGGGGGAGUCGCAAGACCUCGCGCGAUUGGAGCGGCCGAUAUCAGAUUAGGUAGUUGGUGGGGUAAAAGCCUACCAAGCCUUCGAUCUGUAGCUGGUCUGAGAGGACGACCAGCCACACUGGAACUGAGACACGGUCCAGACUCCUACGGGAGGCAGCAGUGGGGAAUUUUGGACAAUGGGCGCAAGCCUGAUCCAGCAAUGCCGCGUGCAGGAUGAAGGCC